This 250-nucleotide ribosomal RNA is filed under the name Salmonella enterica subsp. enterica serovar Cerro. RNAcentral describes it as "partial 23S ribosomal RNA". It matches the Rfam family "Bacterial large subunit ribosomal RNA", at positions 252 to 494 of the family's 2925-position model. The record is from RNAcentral. Lineage: Bacteria; Pseudomonadati; Pseudomonadota; Gammaproteobacteria; Enterobacterales; Enterobacteriaceae.
AACGGUUAUAUAUGGGGUCUUAACGCGAGAUCCAUUUUUGCAGUGUUUUUCAUUUUAGGGGUUUAUUGAUGAGCGAUAUGCACUCGCUGCUGAUAGCGGCAAUUUUGGGUGUGGUCGAAGGAUUGACAGCCCCGUACACAAAAGCGCAUGUGCUGUGAGCUCGAUGAGUAGGGCGGGACACGUGGUAUCCUGUCUGAAUAUGGGGGGACCAUCCUCCAAGGCUAAAUACUCCUGACUGACCGAUAGUGAA